AGCAUAUCAAUAAGCGGAGGAAAAGAAACCAAUAGGGAUUGCCCUAGUAACGGCGAGUGAAGCGGCAACAGCUCAAAUUUGAAAUCUGGCUCUUUUAGGGUCCGAGUUGUAAUUUGCAGAGGGCGCUUUGGCAUUGGCAGCGGUCCAAGUUCUUUGGAACAGGACGUCACAGAGGGUGAGAAUCCCGUACGCGGUCGCUAUCCUUUGCCGUGUAAAGCCCCUUCGACGAGUCGAGUUGUUUGGGAAUGCAGCUCUAAAUGGGAGGUAAAUUUCUUCUAAAGCUAAAUACUGGCCAGAGACCGAUAGCGCACAAGUAGAGUGAUCGAAAGAUGAAAAGCACUUUGGAAAGAGAGUCAAAUAGCACGUGAAAUUGUUGAAAGGGAAGCGCUUGCAGCCAGACUUGCCUGUAGUUGCUUAUCCGGACUUUUGUCCGGUGCACUCUUCUGCGGGCAGGCCAGCAUCAGUUUGGGCAGUUGGAUAAAGGUCUCUGUCAUGUACCUCUCUUCGGGGAGGCCUUAUAGGGGAGACGACAUGCAACUAGCCUGGACUGAGGUCCGCGCAUCUGCUAGGAUGCUGGCGUAAUGGCUGUAAGCGGCCCGUC
Molecule: ribosomal RNA, 601 nt
Filed under: uncultured fungus
Lineage: Eukaryota; Fungi
Description: eukaryotic LSU rRNA
Rfam family: Eukaryotic large subunit ribosomal RNA
Source: RNAcentral